UCUCCACACCGUUCUGUUGUUGGGCUGCUUUUUAACGUAAUUAAUUACCCAUUUUUGGAAGGAAAACUAAUACAUUUUGCAGAUCAUAUUUCAUAGACAUUUGUAAAUACGGGACAGUUACUGACGGUAUAAUAAUCACUUGUUUUUUUCGGAACGAUGCGUGAAGGCUUGAGUUACUACAUGUAGUAGAUAUGUCUGAUAGAGAGCUGUUGUUGUAAUGCAGUGAUGGCGAGGGACAUGAAUUCUCAUGGGAACGUCAUGUAGCAUCAUGUCUGGAAAUACAGAUGUAUGCAGACAUUCUAGAAUACUUUCUAUCAUGUUGGUGUAACAAUGAAAGCAUUCCUCCCAUUUGUUUUCUAUCAUGUUGGUGUAACAAUGAAAGCAUUCCUCCCAUUUGUUUUCUAUCAUGUUGGUGUAACAAUGAAAGCAUUCCUCCCAUUUGUUUUCUAUCAUGUUGGUGUAACAAUGAAAGCAUUCCUCCCAUUUGUUUUCUAUCAUGUUGGUGUAACAAUGAAAGCAUUCCUCCCAUUUGUUUUCUAUCAUGUCGGUGUAACAAUGAAAGCAUUCCUCCCAUUUGUUUUCUAUCAUGUCGGUGUAACAAUGAAAGCAUUCCUCCCAUUUGUUUUCUAUCAUGUUGGUGUAACAAUGAAAGCAUUCCUCCCAUUUGUUUUCUAUCAUGUCGGUGUAACAAUGAAAGCAUUCCUCCCAUUUGUUUUCUAUCCUGUUGGUGUAACAAUGAAAGCAUUCCUCCAUUUGUUUUGGCGUUCAUUCUCUUCAGAUCUGAAAGACAUGUUUAAAUUGGUAUUUUCUCCUUAUCGACGUACUUUGUACAAGCAGCUUGUUACCUUGUCUUCCGGCUACUUUUUGUCAACUCUGUAACAUAUCGAACUGAUCAGUGUGAACUGAUAUUGUAUAAAAAUUAAAUUACUUUUGUCUUUUUUUUAAAUCCAGUGUGGGUG
Molecule: long non-coding RNA, 959 nt
Organism: Oncorhynchus tshawytscha (Chinook salmon)
Lineage: Eukaryota; Metazoa; Chordata; Actinopteri; Salmoniformes; Salmonidae
Source: Ensembl